GGUGACCUCUAUGGUAGUCAUGCCAAAAAAUAUGGUGGGUGGCAUUCGAAGAAGCUUGGAGACAUCACAAUGCAGCCUUUCAAGUUCUUCUGGUUAUUACUCGUAUAAAGAAACAAGAUCAAAACUUACGGAGAGAAAUAAAAUCACAGAGUGUGAAGCAAACUAUGAUUCUUCAUCUGAAGAGUCUGAUGAGGCAGAGAGCAAAUUUGUGGGAGAAGAGUCUUGUUGCUCAUCUAUGAAUCAGCUUGAAGAUGGUAAUGCCACAGAUACAGAUGCAGACAAUUCUUUCGGUGAAUAUUCAGCUGUUA
Molecule: unclassified non-coding RNA, 308 nt
Filed under: Hevea brasiliensis (rubber tree)
Lineage: Eukaryota; Viridiplantae; Streptophyta; Magnoliopsida; Malpighiales; Euphorbiaceae
Source: RNAcentral